RNAcentral lists this long non-coding RNA (1169 nucleotides) under Elaeis guineensis (African oil palm). RNAcentral describes it as "long non-coding RNA (EGUI_LNC035381)". Lineage: Eukaryota; Viridiplantae; Streptophyta; Magnoliopsida; Arecales; Arecaceae. The record is from RNAcentral.
UUAGGUCCAUAAUUGGGUUAGACCUAAGGUUAGCUUAAAAAUGGACUAAAUGGAGUAAUUGGUCAAAUCUAAUCAAAAGUUGAAUUAGAUUAGGUCAAGAAUACUCUAGACUCAACUUCGAUGGUUGUAGUUGAAUGGGUCCAUAUCUUUAACUAGACCAAGAUGGACUUAAUUCAUGGCUACGCGGUAGAGCCCUAUUUACUAAGUUGAUCAAAAUUAAAACUAAUGAACCGGUUGGUGUCGAAGGUAAGUUCGACAGUUUUGACCAGUGGUUCUUAAGCGGGAGCUACUCACAUUGAUUCGAUCAUUGACGAGUUAAUGGCAAAUCCCCACCACUGAUCUCACUUACCUGGCCAAUCUGGUAAGUUAGAUUUUGAUUAGAUCACUUGGUGAUUAGAGCUCACCCAUGUCAUUAGGUAAAUCAGUGUGACUGAUUUAGGUGCUUCUAAUGCCAGCUUUAAUUAAAUCUUUUUUUAAUCUGACUUGGUGAAGUCAGUGGAAGGAUUGAAAUUGGCUGGAUGAUUUCCUCUCUACUAUCCUUUAAUAAAAUCCUCAAAAAUUAUUAGGUCCCUAAAAUGAUUAAGUUAUAAUGAUAACUAAGUCAAUGCCUCCCAUUAAGUGAGUAAUAAUGAGUCCAUUAGUUCAAUGAUCAUUGGAGGUCCAAAGGCCUGGUGCUCAUUGGCUAAUGGAAUUAUCAUUCAUAAUAUGAUAAUUUGGUUGAGUCUUUCUGAUGGUGGUUAGGUUGGCUGGCCAAAGUCGGAUCUGAUCAUUUAUUGGUCUGAUUCACCAAAUUAAGUCAUGUUAAUGGUUGGACCUAACUAGAUCUUUUCAGUGGAGGCCAAAGCCUACUGAUUAGGUUCUGGGCAAAAUUAAUUAUUAGAAGUUGUUUAGAGAAACAACUGGUUAAGAACCUACCCAUAGAUGCACAUGGGUUGACCAACCAAAGUUGGGCUCGUGUGUAGUCUGUGUGGAUUCUAGUACCCAUUAAGGAAUUAAAGUAAUUUUUCGAAUUGGAGGUUGAGGCUACCAGUUCGUAAAAAUAUUGAGAAAAACUUUAGACUAAAGUCCAAAUCUUUAGUAUUAAUUUAUGUACUAAUAGAGGUCUGGUUUUUCUUUAUACAGCUAUGGCCACUACCCUGUCGCUCCGGUCAUUAUUAGAUAAUGACAAG